Molecule: ribosomal RNA, 507 nt
Filed under: Salmonella enterica
Lineage: Bacteria; Pseudomonadati; Pseudomonadota; Gammaproteobacteria; Enterobacterales; Enterobacteriaceae
Also listed under: 1 other name
Description: partial 23S ribosomal RNA
Rfam family: Bacterial large subunit ribosomal RNA
Source: RNAcentral
CUGGAGGUAUCAGAAGUGCGAAUGCUGACAUAAGUAACGAUAAAGCGGGUGAAAAGCCCGCUCGCCGGAAGACCAAGGGUUCCUGUCCAACGUUAAUCGGGGCAGGGUGAGUCGACCCCUAAGGCGAGGCCGAAAGGCGUAGUCGAUGGGAAACGGGUUAAUAUUCCCGUACUUGGUGUUACUGCGAAGGGGGGACGGAGAAGGCUAUGUUGGCCGGGCGACGGUUGUCCCGGUUUAAGCGUGUAGGUGUGUGUUCCAGGUAAAUCCGGUUCACUUUAACACUGAGGCGUGACGACGAGGCACUACGGUGCUGAAGCAACAAAUGCCCUGCUUCCAGGAAAAGCCUCUAAGCAUCAGGUAACAUCAAAUCGUACCCCAAACCGACACAGGUGGUCAGGUAGAGAAUACCAAGGCGCUUGAGAGAACUCGGGUGAAGGAACUAGGCAAAAUGGUGCCGUAACUUCGGGAGAAGGCACGCUGACACGUAGGUGAAGUGAUUUACUCAUG